UACGGAGGGUGCGAGCGUUGUCCGGAUUUAUUGGGCGUAAAGAGCGUGUAGGCGGCCAGGUAGGUCUGCUGUGAAAACUCGAGGCUCAACCUCGAGACGUCGGCGGAAACCAUCUGGCUAGAGUCCGGAAGAGGAGAGUGGAAUUCCUGGUGUAGCGGUGAAAUGCGCAGAUAUCAGGAGGAACACCGGUGGCGAAGGCGGAUCUCUGGGCCGAUACUGACGCUGAGGAGCGAAGGCGUGGGGAGCGAACAGG
This 253-nucleotide ribosomal RNA is filed under the name uncultured bacterium. RNAcentral describes it as "partial 16S ribosomal RNA". It matches the Rfam family "Bacterial small subunit ribosomal RNA", at positions 524 to 776 of the family's 1533-position model. The record is from RNAcentral.